AGUUGACGGGUUGGGAAAGGGAUGUAAGAUGUCGGGCUCCCCCGGCGAAAGGCAGAGGGAUUGAGCGGCGCGAGCCGCACGAUCAUUGACAGUAUGCACAGGUGACUUGUGUGGGCGCCCUGCGGAUGACUUGAAGAGCAUCCGGAGCGCGUCCUGGAUUCAAGUAAUUCAGCGAACGCGAGCCUGGAAGCUUCACGAAGAAUCGGUGGCGCGAGCCAUCAGCAGAUCCAAGUGAAGAGUUUGAUCCUGGCUCAGAUUGAACGCUGGCGGCAUGCCUAACACAUGCAAGUCGAGCGGCAGCGCGGGGGCGACCCUGGCGGCGAGCGGCGGACGGGUGAGUAAGGCAUCGGAAUCUGCCCUGAUGUGGGGGAUAACGUAGGGAAACUUACG
RNAcentral lists this ribosomal RNA (390 nucleotides) under uncultured bacterium. RNAcentral describes it as "partial 16S ribosomal RNA". The stretch from base 229 to 390 matches the Rfam family "Bacterial small subunit ribosomal RNA", at positions 1 to 162 of the family's 1533-position model. The record is from RNAcentral.